UUGAGGGUCUCUAUCGCAUCAGAUUACUCCAUCCUAUACAGCCAGGCCAGUGGAGCAUCCAAGUCAGGAGUCAUGGACAAAUCACAUUCAAUGUAAUAGGUGACAGCAGUGUAGAUUUCUUGUAUUACUUUGCCACAAUAAACAACGAAACACACCCAGGUCUAGCCAGAGUGGAAGGCAAUCCAGUGGCAGGUGUCCCUGCUUUUCUGGUGCUGGCUGUCACAGGUCUGGCUCCUGAUCAGGAGGCUUCUUUCAGUCAUGUGACUCUGAUAGGAGCCAGCGGGGAGAGCCUCAUUCAAGUGGUACUGAACUCCUCCUCUUCCC
Molecule: long non-coding RNA, 324 nt
Organism: Thalassophryne amazonica
Lineage: Eukaryota; Metazoa; Chordata; Actinopteri; Batrachoidiformes; Batrachoididae
Exons: 3
Source: RefSeq, a predicted model, not a curated record